This 253-nucleotide ribosomal RNA is filed under the name uncultured bacterium. RNAcentral's name for it is "partial 16S ribosomal RNA". It matches the Rfam family "Bacterial small subunit ribosomal RNA", at positions 524 to 776 of the family's 1533-position model. The record is from RNAcentral.
UACGUAGGGUCCGAGCGUUGUCCGGAAUUAUUGGGCGUAAAGAGCUCGUAGGCGGCUUGUCGCGUCGGAUGUGAAAGCCCGGGGCUUAACUCCGGGUCUGCAUUCGAUACGGGCAGGCUAGAGUUCGGUAGGGGAGAUCGGAAUUCCUGGUGUAGCGGUGAAAUGCGCAGAUAUCAGGAGGAACACCGGUGGCGAAGGCGGAUCUCUGGGCCGAUACUGACGCUGAGGAGCGAAAGCGUGGGGAGCGAACAGG